GGGCGUAAAGAGCUCGUAGGUGGUUUGUUACGUCGGUUGUGAAAUUCAGGGGCUCAACCCCUGACUUGCAGCCGAUACGGGCAAGCUAGAGUUUGGUAGGGGAGACUGGAAUUCCUGGUGUAGCGGUGGAAUGCGCAGAUAUCAGGAGGAACACCGAUGGCGAAGGCAGGUCUCUGGGCCAAUACUGACACUGAGGAGCGAAAGCGUGGGGAGCGAACAGGAUUAGAUACCCUGGUAGUCCACGCCGUAAACGGUGGGCGCUAGUUGUGCGAACCUUCCACGGUUUGUGCGACGCAGCUAACGCAUUAAGCGCCCCGCCUGGGGAGUACGAUCGCAAGAUUAAAACUCAAAGGAAUUGACGGGGCCCCGCACAAGCAGCGGAGCAUGCGGCUUAAUUCGACGCAACGCGAAGAACCUUACCAAGGCUUGACAUAUACAGGAAUAUGGCAGAGAUGUCAUAGCCGCAAGGUCUGUAUACAGGUGGUGCAUGGUUGUCGUCAGCUCGUGUCGUGAGAUGUUGGGUUAAGUCCCGCAACGAGCGCAACCCUCGUUCUGUGUUGCCAGCAUUUAGUUGGGGACUCACAGGAGACUGCCGGGGUUAACUCGGAGGAAGGUGGGGAUGACGUCAAAUCAUCAUGCCUCUUAUGUCUUGGGCUGCACGCAUGCUACAAUGGCUGGUACAAACGGCUGCGAUACCGCAAGGUGGAGCGAAUCCGAUA
Molecule: ribosomal RNA, 719 nt
Filed under: uncultured bacterium
Lineage: Bacteria
Description: bacterial SSU rRNA
Rfam family: Bacterial small subunit ribosomal RNA
Source: RNAcentral